Long non-coding RNA from Oncorhynchus keta (chum salmon), 2789 nucleotides. RefSeq lists it as uncharacterized. The record is from RefSeq and is a predicted model, not a curated record. Lineage: Eukaryota; Metazoa; Chordata; Actinopteri; Salmoniformes; Salmonidae. The transcript has 4 exons.
UAGGCCUUAUGAAGGUGUCAUUAGGCCUUAUGAAGGGUUUAUGAAGGUGUCAUUAGGCCUUAUGAAGGGUUUAUGAAGGUGUCAUUAGGCCUUAUGAAGGGUUUAUGAAGGUGUCAUUAGGCCUUAUGAAGGGUUUAUGAAGGUGUCAUUAGGCCUUAUGAAGGGCUUAUGAAGGUGUCAUUAGGCCUUAUGAAGGGUUUAUGAAGGUGUCAUUAGGCCUUAUGAAGGGUUUAUGAAGGUGUCAUUAGGCCUUAUGAAGGGUUUAUGAAGGUGUCAUUAGGCCUUAUGAAGGGUUUAUGAAGGUGUCAUUAGGCCUUAUGAAGGGCUUAUGAAGGUGUCAUUAGGCCUUAUGAAGGGUUUAUGAAGGUGUCAUUAGGCCUUAUGAAGGGCUUAUGAAGGUGUCAUUAGGCCUUAUGAAGGGUUUAUGAAGGUGUCAUUAGGCCUUAUGAAGGGUUUAUGAAGGUGUCAUUAGGCCUUAUGAAGGGUUUAUGAAGGUGUCAUUAGGCCUUAUGAAGGGUUUAUGAAGGUGUCAUUAGGCCUUAUGAAGGGUUUAUGAAGGUGUCAUUAGGCCUUAUGAAGGGCUUAUGAAGGUGUCAUUAGGCCUUAUGAAGGGCUUAUGAAGGUGUCAUUAGGCCUUAUGAAGGGCUUAUGAAGGGUUUAUGAAGGUGUCAUUAGGCCUUAUGAAGGGUUUAUGAAGGUGUCAUUGGGCCUUAUGAAGGGCUUAUGAAGGGCUUAUGAAGGUGUCAUUAGGCCUUAUAGGGCAUCUGCACUUCCUGAUUUGGCCUUGUUUUUCAUCAAAGAAAUGUUAGCAGCCAUGACUGAAGGCAAACAGGAGUUGUCUUGGGGGUUUGAUAUGGGGGUUUGAUAUGGGGGUUUCUUGGGUGUGUCUUUGCCAUUCAAUCACACCGAAGAGCAGUAGUCGGUACAGCGAGGUAAACUAAACUAGCUUUUCCAUGGAGAGAAUUAAGUUUUGAAGUUGAGUACUUCUCCCCUCCUGACAAGACCUGCCACCUCAAGAUGGUCAGUUCUACGCUAAAGCCUGUAUGGACCUUGUGUUUAGCCAAGCUGACAGCAGCUAGCUAGCAUAGCUUGGUGAUUGCUGCAGCUGGCUAUACUAUGAUAACGCAGUACUCCGGGCCAAGGGCACAACGGCCACUGGCCACAAAAGGCAUGGAUUUUUUUUAGGGGCAUUAUGGCCACACAAAUGGGAUGCCGCCGUGAAAUUCUGUCAAAUUGUGAGAGACUGAUGUUGUGUGUGCAGCCCGGGCAAAAAAAACUAACCAGAGCUCAUGCCUUUCAAGUGACUGUUUUCAAAUGAUCAUCAGAGUCGCAUCAUGGAGCCUUACAAUGUAUUAAAAAUCAAAACAUAUAGCCCAACGUUUGUAAAACAACUAAAGUUACAUAAAUAACUCUCAAUGAAGCAUAUAGGAGUACCUAUGUUUUUGUUAACCACUCAACACAUAAUAAAUAGCCUUAUGUGCACACUUCCUCAAAUCGUUAAUCGGUGUCCCUUCCACGGGACAGCUAACGUAGGCUAAAGCGAUUAGCAUGAGGUUGAGCUAACGUAGGCUAAUGCGAUUAGCAUGAGGUUGAGCUAACGUAGGCUAAUGCGAUUAGCAUGAGGUUGAGCUAACGUAGGCUAAUGCGAUUAGCAUGAGGUUGAGCUAACGUAGGCUAAUGCGAUUAGCAUGAGGUUGAGCUAACGUAGGCUAAUGCGAUUAGCAUGAGGUUGAGCUAACGUAGGCUAAUGCGAUUAUCAUGAGGUUAUAAGUAACAAGAACACAUUUCCCAGGACAUAGACAUGUCUGAUAUUUGCAUAAAGCUUAAAUUAUUGUUAAUCAAAUUGCAUUGGCCAAUUUACAGUAGCUAUUACAGUGAAAUAAUACCAUGCCAUUGUUUGAGGAGAGUGCACACUUUUGAACAAGAAAAGUUAUUAAUAAACAAAUUAGGCACAAAUUAGGCACAGCAGUCUUAAAACAACAUUUUGAACAGAAAUGCAAUGGUUCAUUGGAUGAGUCUGAAACUUUGCACAUACACUGCUGCCAUCUAGUGGCCAAAAUCGAAAUUGCAACUGGGCUGGAAAAAUACAUUAUGGCCUUUCUCUUGCAUUUCAAAGGUGAUGGUACAAAAGAACAGUUGUUUUUUUUCUUUGUAUUAUCUUUUACCAGAUCUAUUGUCAUAUAUUCAACUACAUUCUUUUCACAUGGUCAUAAACUUCAAAGUGUUUUCUUUCAAAUGGUACCAAGAAUAUGCAUAUCCUUGCUUCAGGGCCUGAGCUACAGGCAGUUAGAUUUGGGUUUGUCAUUUUAGAAGAAAAUUGAAAAAAGAGGGGGGGGAUCCUUUUAUUCAGCUUUGUUCAAUAGUUUUUUUCGUACUUUAAAAGAAUGCCUAGGAAUACGAUGCACAUCUUGUCUGCUAAAUUAAUUAGUGUAGCCCACAGCCAUUUGGCAUGGCCAGAUCAGGACCUAACAUAAGGACAACUCAGAGUAUGUUAUUCUGUUCUUCUGAAAUAGUCUACAUUUUCUUCAUAUUAUGCUUCUUUAGACCUGUCUAAAAUACAUGUUGGAUUAAUUGUGAAGGUCUAGACUAUAUCACCGGCUGACAAAAUGUUGUGAAUGCCACAGCCCUAAUCCUAUCUGCAUGAUAUUUCUAUGGCUAGAUAGUAAGAGCCACCAGAACAAUGUUUCUGACUCCUAUCGAUGCCACAAAGGCUUUCAAAAGGAGAAGUUGGUUUUCCAAGGGCAGUUGACUUUAAAAAAAAAGUAGUGUCAUUUAAAAUUGGGACCACU